UAACAAGGAUUCCCCCUAGUAACUGCGAGUGAAGCGGGAAAAGCUCAAAUUUAAAAUCUGGCGGUUUCACCGUCCGAGUUGUAAUCUGGAGAAGCAUUUUCCGCGUUGGACCGUGUACAAGUCUCUUGGAAUAGAGCGUCAUAGAGGGUGAGAAUCCCGUCCAUGACACGGACUACCAGUGCUUUGUGAUAUGCUCUCAAAGAGUCGAGUUGUUUGGGAAUGCAGCUCAAAAUGGGUGGUAAAUUCCAUCUAAAGCUAAAUAUUGGCGAGAGACCGAUAGCGAACAAGUACCGUGAGGGAAAGAUGAAAAGCACUUUGGAAAGAGAGUUAAACAGUACGUGAAAUUGUUGAAAGGGAAACGCUUGAAGUCAGUCGCGUUGUCCGGGACUCAGCCUUGCUAUUUGCUUGGUGUACUUCCUGGUUGACGGGUCAACAUCAAUUUUGGCUGGUGGAUAAAGGCCGAGAGAAGGUGGCAUCUUCGGAUGUGUUAUAGCUCUUGGUUGUAUACGCUGGCUGGGAUUGAGGUCUGCAGCACGCCUUUUUGGCCGGGGUUCGCCCACGUAACGUGCUUAGGAUGUUGGCAUAAUGGCUUUAAGCGACCCGUCUUGAAACACGGACCAAGGAGUCUAACAUGCCUGCGAGUAUUAGAGUGGAAAACUCUUGU
RNAcentral lists this ribosomal RNA (664 nucleotides) under Lyomyces crustosus. RNAcentral describes it as "partial large subunit ribosomal RNA". It matches the Rfam family "Eukaryotic large subunit ribosomal RNA", at positions 66 to 713 of the family's 3401-position model. The record is from RNAcentral. Lineage: Eukaryota; Fungi; Basidiomycota; Agaricomycetes; Hymenochaetales; Schizoporaceae.